GCACGAGCGCACCCUUGUCGUUAGUUGCCAUCAUGUAAUGGGGGACACUCUUGGGACACUGCCUGACAAAACGCGGGGAAGAGGGGAUAUCACCUCGACCCCUUGUGCCCUUUGUGCCCGGGGCUACACAUGUUCUACAGUGCGGGAUACAGAGCGGCCCAACCUCGCGAGGGUAGACAAUAUCCCAAAACCU
RNAcentral lists this ribosomal RNA (193 nucleotides) under uncultured bacterium. Its description in RNAcentral is "partial 16S ribosomal RNA". The record is from RNAcentral.